CAAUAUUCCGGAGCGGGGAGUGGCGCAAGGGUGCGUAACACGUGGGUCAUUUUGCCGUGAAGCUGGGAACAACUCGUUGAAAGACGAGCUAAUACCCAAUGUGCUCCGCAAGGAGUAAAGCCGGGGACCGCAAGGCCUGGCACUUUUACGAUAAGCCCGCGGCCUAUCAGCUAGUUGGCGGGGUAAAAGCCCACCAAGGCUAAGACGGGGUAGCUGGUCUGAGAGGACGACCAGCCACACUGGAACUGAGACACGGUCCAGACACCUACGGGUGGCAGCAGUCGAGAAUUUUUCACAAUGGGCGAAAGCCUGAUGGAGCGACGCCGCGUGGGGGAUGAAGGGCUUCGGCUCGUAAACCCCUGUCAUUCGCGAACAAAGGUGCCGGCCUAAUAUGCCGUCGUCUGAUAGUAGCGGAAGAGGAAGGGACGGCUAACUCUGUGCCAGCAGCCGCGGUAAUACAGAGGUCCCAAGCGUUGUUCGGAUUCACGUGGGCGUAAA
This 498-nucleotide ribosomal RNA is filed under the name uncultured bacterium. Its description in RNAcentral is "bacterial SSU rRNA". It matches the Rfam family "Bacterial small subunit ribosomal RNA", at positions 76 to 564 of the family's 1533-position model. The record is from RNAcentral.